RNAcentral lists this unclassified non-coding RNA (186 nucleotides) under Borreliella afzelii. The record is from RNAcentral. Lineage: Bacteria; Pseudomonadati; Spirochaetota; Spirochaetia; Spirochaetales; Borreliaceae.
AGGAAACACCUGUAUAUCAUUCCGAACACAGAAGUUAAGCUCUUAUUCGCUGAUGGUACUGCGAGUUCGCGGGAGAGUAAGUUAUUGCCAGGGUUUUUAUUUUAUACUUUAAACCUUGAAUUUAUUUUUUAAAUGUUUAUAUUAUUUGAAUAAAACAUUCAAAUAAUAUAAAAAAUAAUAUAUAUA